AACGAACGCUGGCGGCAUGCCUAACACAUGCAAGUCGAACGAUGCCUUCGGGCAUAGUGGCGCACGGGUGCGUAACGCGUGGGAAUCUGCCUUUCGGUUCGGAAUAACUCAGGGAAACUUGAGCUAAUACCGGAUAGCGUCGCAAGACCAAAGAUUUAUCACCGAAAGAUGAGCCCGCGUAGGAUUAGCUAGUUGGUGAGGUAAAGGCUCACCAAGGCGACGAUCCUUAGCUGGUCUGAGAGGAUGAUCAGCCACACUGGGACUGAGACACGGCCCAGACUCCUACGGGAGGCAGCAGUGGGGAAUAUUGGACAAUGGGCGAAAGCCUGAUCCAGCAAUGCCGCGUGAGUGAUGAAGGCCUUAGGGUUGUAAAGCUCUUUUACCCGGGAAGAUAAUGACGGUACCGGGAGAAUAAGCCCCGGCUAACUCCGUG
This 433-nucleotide ribosomal RNA is filed under the name uncultured bacterium. Its description in RNAcentral is "partial 16S ribosomal RNA". It matches the Rfam family "Bacterial small subunit ribosomal RNA", at positions 29 to 507 of the family's 1533-position model. The record is from RNAcentral.